Molecule: ribosomal RNA, 399 nt
Filed under: uncultured bacterium
Lineage: Bacteria
Description: partial 16S ribosomal RNA
Rfam family: Bacterial small subunit ribosomal RNA
Source: RNAcentral
GAAUAUUGCGCAAUGGGGGAAACCCUGACGCAGCGACGCCGCGUGAACGAUGAAGGCAUUUGGGUCGAAAAGUUCUGUCCACAGGGAAGAAUAAAUGACGGUAUCUGCGGAGGAAGCCCAGGCUAACUACGUUACAGUAGCCGCGGUAAUACGUAGGGGGCAAGCGUUGUCCGGAAUUAUUGGGCGUAAAGGGUGCUUAGGCGGCCUUUUAAGUCAGAUGUUAAAGACCUCAGCUUAACUGUGGGAUUGCAUUUGAAACUGAAGGGCUUGAGUGUCGGAGAGGGUAGUGGAAUUCCCGGAGUAGCGGUGAAAUGCGUAGAUAUCGGGAGGAACACCAGUGGCGAAGGCGACUACCUGGACGACAACUGACGCUGAGGCACGAAAGCUAGGGGAGCAAAC